UUACCGUAGGUGAACCUGCGGAAGGAUCAUUAAUGAGUUGUCAUGGGGUUCGAUGCUGGCAGCCAGUUUUUGGAUGCAUGUGCUUGCCCUAACAAUCAUCUUCUUCCAAACACCUGUGCACAUUUUUGAGGGAGUCUUGAGUUGGUUGCCGCUCUUGGGUGAUUUUCUCACAUUCCCUUAAAUCAUUAUACGCUAUUAACAAUGUUGAACGUGCUCUGUGCCGCAAGGCCAUUAAUAUAAUACAACUUUUAACAACGGAUCUCUUGGCUCUC
RNAcentral lists this unclassified non-coding RNA (272 nucleotides) under plant metagenome. RNAcentral's name for it is "partial contains small subunit ribosomal RNA, internal transcribed spacer 1, and 5.8S ribosomal RNA". The record is from RNAcentral.